GAAACACACUUAAAAUGACUCAAAAUAAUGAAAACAAUCAAAUUAAACACUAGGAACUGAAAUGGACAGAAAUUAAAUUAAAAGACUAACAAUAAAGAAAACUAAAUAAAUAAUAUAAUUUAAUAAUGGAUGGGUGUUGGUUUUGAUGAAAAGUAAAUUAAACUUAAUUAAAUUACAGAAUUGAUAAAAACAUAAAAUUAAGGUAAAAUGAUAAAUGACGGACUAGCUAGAGGGUUCUUCUCCACACAUGUUAAACUUGCAUACAAAAUGAUUUCCAGUUGUUCUUUUAAUAAAUUGUGAAUUUCAAUACUCC
RNAcentral lists this long non-coding RNA (313 nucleotides) under Malus domestica (apple). Its description in RNAcentral is "long non-coding RNA (MDOM_LNC014114)". Lineage: Eukaryota; Viridiplantae; Streptophyta; Magnoliopsida; Rosales; Rosaceae. The record is from RNAcentral.